UAGCAGAGCAGAGCAGAGCAGAGCAGAGGGAGCUGUCUCAGUUGAUCUACAGCAACCCUUUAAGGAAUGCAAUUAUCCAUCUCCUGAAAAAGAAAAGAAAACAUAACUGUUAUAAACCGUUCACCUAAGAAAGUUUGGCUACCCUUUUAUGUCUCAUCAGUUUUGAUUAAGCUACUUCGCUGGGCCACACAUAGAACAGUUUAACCUUGUGGUGACUUCCUAAAAAGUCACAACUGAAGAUUUGGGUGUCUGGAGCACCCCUGCCCCCAUGAGGUACAUGGAUUACCAUUGGAAGAAAAAAGUAGCCCUGUGUGGGCACACACAGAUUAUGGAGAGAGACUUCAUUGAAGAAGAAAUUCAGCAGACCUUCUGCCUUUCCUGGGACACUGACAACGUCACAGAUGAAGAUGAGAAGCAAUUUUGUCAGGCAGCACACAUGGUACCCUCCAACAACCUUGUGAAGUAGGUCAGGCUAAGAAAAUAUGACUGGCCCAAGGUCAUUGAGAGAACUUCAUGUCUGAGCAUAGAUUUGAACCUGCAUCUCCCUAGUCUAAUUCACAUACUUAUCCACUGCACUAGAUAGGCAUGUCCUUGCCUUUUGCCUUU
Rhineura floridana is the source of this 606-nucleotide long non-coding RNA. RefSeq lists it as uncharacterized. Lineage: Eukaryota; Metazoa; Chordata; Lepidosauria; Squamata; Rhineuridae. The record is from RefSeq and is a predicted model, not a curated record. The transcript is spliced from 5 exons.